CAUUGAAGAUAUAAUUAGUUAUGAUGGGGUCAAAUCAACCCUGGUGACUAUUCAGUCUUAGACUGGUAGCCCCCAAACUGUGGGGCAAUAAAUUACUCUUAUUUAAGACAACCCAGUGUGUGAUGUUUAGUUGUGGCAGUCCUGGGGAAAAGUGCACUGGCCAAAGGAUUAAUUUCCAUCCCUUAGGCACCUGCAAAAGAGAUUCUGGGGAACCUCUCCAUUUAGAGGACCUAGUAAUUAUAUCCUUUACUGUCCUGGAUAAUAUGGUCACUUUUUAGCAACUGGUCUCAUCUAUCACUGGUUGCCUAUGAGUGUUAUCUAUCAAUGUCAAAGACUAUAGUAAAUUCUGAAACUAAUUUACAUAUAAUAAAAAGUCAAAUGAAUCAGCUAUGGUGCAGCUCUGAUUGAAAUUUUUUGGAGAAUAAACAUUCUAUAAUUUGGAGAAUUGAUCUUUUAUGGGUUGUGGAUAAGACUAUGAAUAUCUAUUACAUAUAUUUGCAAGAUGACAGAAUGAGGACAAAUAUAAUUAUGCAUGUUUAUUCUCAGUUCCUAUUGAACUGAGUUUUUUUUUUUCCCUUUCACAUUUAUUAUGCAAGUAUGAUAAGCUCUGCAGCAAAUAAGGGACAGGUCGGUGUAGAGUCUAUAUUUCUGUUUCCAUGGAGGCAAAGCUGGAAAGAAAUCAUGAUAUACUUUAAGAAUUUGUGCCAGUUUUAAAUUAAGGCAGAAUAUUGUUGUAUUCAUGUUGUAGAAAGUUAUUGAAAAAAAAUAGUAAGUUUUUCCUCCCUAUGGGUGAUUCACUUCAAAUUUAAAUAAGUGAAUAUUUUCUAUUUCAAGAAAUGUUUUUAUGAAUAAGAGAAUGCUUUCCAAACUCUAUUGAGGAGAAAUCUUCCCAUUUGGGGAGGGCAUUUUAUUUUCUUUGAAUUAACCAAAUAACAUCUCAGCUCCCAUUUUUAACAAAAAAUUUACUGGCAAAUAUGGAAGUAUGAUGUGGGAAAUACGGUAUUUCCUUCUGGUGGGGGCUUUCAGUUAUAGGACGUAUGUCACCACGUUAUAUAUUAGCUACUCAGUCUUCAUUUAUCCUAUAACUGAUAAUCACUAUUCUAUUCUCUGUUUCUAUGUGUUCAGUUUUUUUUUUUUUUUCAGGUUCCACAAAAAAGCAAUACCAUUCAGUUUUUUUUUCUUUCUCUGUCAGGCUUUUUUCACUUAGAAUAAUGCCCUCCAGUUUGAUCCUGUCAUUUGCAGUUGUUGAAGCAUCCUUGUAUCCCAGAGAUUAACCCUACUUGGUCAUGGUGCAUGAUCCUUUGCAUGUGCUUUUGAUUUCAAUUUGCUAAUAUCUUGUUGAGAAUUUUUGCAUCUAUAUUCAUCAGGGUUAUUGGCCUUACAGUUUCCUUUUCUUGCAGUGUCCUUUUCGCUUUGGCAUCGGAGUAAUGCCGGCUUUGUAAUAUAAGUUCAGGAGUGUUCCUUUCUUGUUCCUAAGGUAGCACAUUAUACAUUCUUCUUUGUGUCUUCCUUAUUUCACUUAAAAUACAGCAAGAAAUAAUUCUAUUUCACUAUAUCAAUUUUUUUCUUAUUUUUAUAACUUCCCAGUACCAUUGUUUGUGCAUAUGCCGUAAUGCAUUACUCAGUCCCCUGCCAUUAGACAUGUGGAUUGUUUCCAGUCUUUUGUUAUUACAAAUCAUAUGUAUUUUUACCAGUGAGUCUUUGGGAUUCUUAGAUAAAAGAUAAAUGCAGUUGCAAUUAUAAAUUGUCAAAUUUCUCUCCACAGGGUUUGUAUCAUUUCACAUUUUCCUCAAUAUUGAGUGAGACUGUCUUCUUUGAGCCAUGCUAACAGUAUACACUGUCAGGUUUUUGAAUUCUUGCUAAUCUAACAGGUAAAUAGGGGUAUCUCAAAGUUAUUAUUUUGGAUUUCUCUUACUAGGACUGAAAUCACUUUCAAUUACAUUUUCCCCCAUUUGCUUUUCAUAUAUUUUUUUCCAUUUUUCCAUUAGUUCUGUCUUUAUUUUUCUUAGUUUUAUUUUAUUUAAUUAAAAAAUUUAAAUUUAAAUUAUUUUAUUAAAGUAUAAAUGACAUAUAAAUUAUAUUAGUUUCAGGUGUCCAAUGUAUUGAUUUGAUAUUUGUGUGUAUUGUGAAAUAUUGUGAAAUGAUCACCCCAAUGAGUCUAGUUAACAUCUGUCACCACACAUAGUUACAAAACUAUUUUUCUUACAAUUAGAACUUUUAAGAUGUGUUCUCCUAGCAACUCUCAAAUAUGCAAUACAGUGUAAUUAACUAUAGUCACCAUACUGUACAGUACAUCCCCUGACCUAAUUAUUUUAUAACUGGAAGUUUAUGCCUUUGGAUCCCUUUUACUCAUUUUGGCCAUCCCUCACCCUCUCCUGGCAAUCACUGAUCUGUUCUCUGUAUCUAUGAACUUGGUUUAACUAUUUAUUUAUUUUAGAUUCUUUGUAUAAGUGAGAUCAUGUUGUACUUGUCUUUCUAUGUCUGACUUAUUUCAUUUAGCAUACUGCCCUCUAGGUCCACACAUGUUCCAAAUGACAAUUUUCAUUAUUUUUUUAUGGCUGAAUAAUAAUGACUAUAUGCGUGUGUCACACUUUAUUUAUCCAUUUAUCACUUAGGUGGUUUCCAUACUUUGGCUAUUGUAAAUAACGCUGCUAUAAACAUGGGGAUGCAUAUCAUAUGUCUUCUCAAGCUAGUGUUUUCAUUUUCUUUGGAUUAAUACCCAAAAAUGAUUUUUGAGGAAACUCCAUACUGUUUUCCAUAGUGGCCCCACAAAUUUACAUUCCCAUCAACAGUACACCAGGGUUCCCUUUUUGCUACACCCUGACCACACCUGUUAUUUCCAAUCUUUUUGUUAAUAGCCUUUCCAAUAGUGUGAUACAAUAUCUCAUUGUGGUUUUGAUUUGCAUCUUCCUUAUAGUGAUGUCAAACACCUUUUUCAGCUAAAUGUUAGCCAUUUGCAUGUCUUCACUGGAAAAACAUCUGCUCAGCUCCUCUACUUAUUUUUAAAAUCAGAUUGUUUGCUGUUUUACUAUUGAGUUGUAUGAGUUCUUUAUAUUUGGGAGUUUUAACUCCUUAUCAGAUAAUACGAUUUGCAAAUAUUUUCUCCCAUGCUGUAGGCUGCCUUUCAUUUUCUUGGUGGUUUCCUUUGCUGUGCAGAAGCUUUGUAGUUUAAUGUAUUUCCACUUGUUUAUGUUUUCUUUUGUUGCUUUUGAUCAUUAUCAAGUUAUAUGUCAAGGAGCUUAGCACAUAUGUUUUCUUCUAGGAGUUCUAAAGUUACAAAUCUUAUGUUCCAAGUCUUUAAUCCAUUUUAAAUUUACUUUCUGUGUAUGGUAUAAAACAGUGGUCCAGUUUUAUCCUUUUACAUGUCCAGUUUUCCCAGCACCAUGUAUUGAAGAUACUGCCCUUUCCCACUUAUAUAUUCUUAGCUCCUUUGUUGUAAAUUAAUUGGCCAUAUAUUCAUGUUUUAUUUCUGGGCUCUAUUUUCUGUUCCAUUGAUCUAUGUGUUUAUUUUUAUGCCAAUAUCAGUGUGUUUGAUUACUAUAGCUUUGUAUAGUUUGAAAUCAGAUAUUUUUCUUAAUUUUUAGAGAAUCUAUGCUUGGAAUAUUGGCCCUUCCUUAGGAAUUUAAUAGUAAAAUUUUCCCUAAUUUGUCACCUGCCUUUUGGCUUUGCUUAUGGUAAUUUUUUUCCAUGCUAAUUAAAAUUUUUAUCAUCUGU
RNAcentral lists this long non-coding RNA (3714 nucleotides) under Sus scrofa (pig). RNAcentral's name for it is "lncRNA (ENSSSCG00050022077.1)". The record is from RNAcentral. Lineage: Eukaryota; Metazoa; Chordata; Mammalia; Artiodactyla; Suidae.